Lolium perenne is the source of this 1086-nucleotide long non-coding RNA. RefSeq lists it as uncharacterized. Lineage: Eukaryota; Viridiplantae; Streptophyta; Magnoliopsida; Poales; Poaceae. The record is from RefSeq and is a predicted model, not a curated record.
GAUCUUGUUUUUCUGAUCUAUACUUGCCCCUGAUGGUGAAAUCCCAGCAGCGAUGUGCUGAUUUUUGUUGAUUUUUGUGUGUAAAUAUUGUAUUCUGGGAACUUGUGAUUGACAGUAGUGAGUGUAGAUAUAAAUACAAUCAAGGCAAACGUAACAAAAACUAGUUCUUGCGUAUGGUUCUGAAUUUGGACUGUGACCGGAACCGAUAUUGCGCAAGUAUUGGUCAAUCUUUAAAUGCUAUGUUGUGACAUUGUAAACCAAUUUAGUACAGUCUCAUUGUCGGUCUUUAUCCAGGCACUCGGUGAUUUGGAGCAGGACCCGGUGGCCAGCAUCUAUGUGGAGAAGCUGAUGUCUGGUGUUGUCCGUGUGGAGCUGCAUGCUGGAAGCGAGGUUCUCAAGUCAUGGCCUUCGUUCAAGCAGAAGCGCAAGAAGCUCAUUCCCGAGGAGGGUGGAGGCACGAGGAUGAGGGAGGACUGGCAUCUUGGCAAUAAUUGAUUUCUCAAUGUUAUCCUGCAGGUAUGUCUUACUUUCCAAUGAAUUUAUAUUCGGGUGUGCUUCAUGUAUGUGUAUCAUCAUUUGGUUUGAGUUCAUACUAAAUCAGAGAAUGUUUCCUUGACUACCACUUGCUGUAUAUGAUUCUUGCGGAUUCAUGGAGAUCAUCUAAUGGAUAUGCUCAUAGCUCUGGAUAUGUACAUCAUCUAUCUCAUCCAGGUAAUGAGUUAAAUGUCAAAUGUCUCCGGUGGAGGAAAGAGGAGGCGGCGCGGUGCAGCAGCCAUGGCGGCGCAGCUGGCCGGCUCGUCGAUGCUAUGUGCGUUGAUUCGACAGCUCACGCGACUCCGUCGAUCCCACCAGUCUGCGUCGUGCGCGUGGAUAGGGAGCGCGGUGCGUACGGUACUGUAGGCAGCCGCGCGGGCGCUGGCGACCAGCAGGUCGAGCUGCUUGUCCCGGAGACGCCGCCGUCCAGGGCCUUGUCGGCGUUGGCUCUAAAUUUGUUAAGUGUUGUGUUUUUUUACAUGGACCUUUUUGUUGCUACCGCUAUUCUGAAAUAUAAGCAGUUUUUAAAUAGAGUGUGAAUUUUUUAUUCUA